UUUUUGAGUGAGGCGCUUUUUUUUAUCCUUCUUUUUUGUCCUGUUUCUUGUCUGUGGUGUCUAUGUACAGUAACCAUGGAAACCCGAAUAUAUAGCGACACUGACUGACUUGACAAUAAAUAAACACUGGUAUGUACAAGGAAGACGUGACAGAGGGGGUCCACGUUUAGGCUUAUAGAGGGUGACAGAGGGGGUCCACGUUUAGGCUUAUAGAGGGUGACAGAGGGGGUCCACGUUUAGGCUUAUAGAGGGUGACAGAGGGGGUCCACGUUUAGGCUUAUAGAGGGGUGACAGAGGGGGGUCCACGUUUAGGCUUAUAGAGGGUGACAGAGGGGGUCCACGUUUAGGCUUAUAGAGGUGACAGAGGGGGUCCACGUUUAGGCUUAUAGAGGGGGUCCAUGUUUAGGCUUAUAGAGGGUGACAGAGGGGGUCCAUGUUUAGAA
RNAcentral lists this long non-coding RNA (443 nucleotides) under Haliotis rubra (blacklip abalone). RNAcentral describes it as "uncharacterized LOC124263930, transcript variant X1". The record is from RNAcentral. Lineage: Eukaryota; Metazoa; Mollusca; Gastropoda; Lepetellida; Haliotidae.